RNAcentral lists this unclassified non-coding RNA (347 nucleotides) under soil metagenome. RNAcentral's name for it is "partial contains 5.8S ribosomal RNA, internal transcribed spacer 2, and large subunit ribosomal RNA". The stretch from base 1 to 120 matches the Rfam family "5.8S ribosomal RNA", at positions 35 to 154 of the family's 154-position model. The record is from RNAcentral.
GAUGAAGAACGUAGCGAAAUGCGAUAAGUAAUGUGAAUUGCAGAAUUCAGUGAAUCAUCGAAUCUUUGAACGCACAUUGCGCCCGCCAGCAUUCUGGCGGGCAUGCCUGUCCGAGCGUCAUUUCAACCCUCGAAGGCCCGCCUCAGGGCCCUCGGUGUUGGGGGACGGCACACCAGCCGCCCCCGAAAUGCAGUGGCGACCCCCGCCGCAGCCUCCCCUGCGUAGUAGAAAACACCUCGCACUGGAGCGCGGAGAGCGGUCACGCCGUAAAACGCCCAACUUCUUAGAGUUGGCCUCGGAUCAGGUAGGAAUACCCGCUGAACUUAAGCAUAUCAAUAAGCGGAGGA